RNAcentral lists this ribosomal RNA (447 nucleotides) under uncultured bacterium. RNAcentral describes it as "partial 16S ribosomal RNA". It matches the Rfam family "Bacterial small subunit ribosomal RNA", at positions 355 to 813 of the family's 1533-position model. The record is from RNAcentral.
UGGGGAAUAUUGCACAAUGGGCGAAAGCCUGAUGCAGCGACGCCGCGUGAGGGAUGACGGCCUUCGGGUUGUAAACCUCUUUCAGCAGGGAAGAAGCGAAAGUGACGGUACCUGCAGAAGAAGCGCCGGCUAACUACGUGCCAGCAGCCGCGGUAAUACGUAGGGCGCAAGCGUUGUCCGGAAUUAUUGGGCGUAAAGAGCUCGUAGGCGGUUAGUCGCGUCUGCUGUGAAAACUCGAGGCUCAACCUCGGGCUUGCAGUGGGUACGGGCUGACUAGAGUGCGGUAGGGGUGACUGGAAUUCCUGGUGUAGCGGUGGAAUGCGCAGAUAUCAGGAGGAACACCGAUGGCGAAGGCAGGUCACUGGGCCGCAACUGACGCUGAGGAGCGAAAGCAUGGGGAGCGAACAGGAUUAGAUAGCCCUGGUAGUCCAUGCCGUAAACGUUGGG